GGUUGGAGAGAUGGCUCAGUGGUUAAGCGCACGGACUGCUCUUCUGGAGGUCCUGAGUUCAAAUCCCAGCAACCA
This 75-nucleotide transfer RNA is filed under the name Mus musculus (house mouse). RNAcentral's name for it is "tRNA-Ser". The record is from RNAcentral. Lineage: Eukaryota; Metazoa; Chordata; Mammalia; Rodentia; Muridae.